This 63-nucleotide transfer RNA is filed under the name Ptyas korros. RNAcentral's name for it is "tRNA-Tyr". The record is from RNAcentral. Lineage: Eukaryota; Metazoa; Chordata; Lepidosauria; Squamata; Colubridae.
GGCAGUAUGGCUGAUUAAAAGCGGUAAUCUGUAAAAUUAUAAAUAGGAUUUUCCUUGCUGCCA